AUGCGUACAAGUUACCGGUUCUAUUGGAUGGAUCUCUGAUAUGUCUGACGUGAGUGGCAAAAGUAUUUCCGUAUAAAGGACGAGAAAUGAAAAGGAAGAAGAGGGAAUGGGAUGAUAAAAUGGUAAAAGGUUAUAUAGGAGGAGAAAAGGGCGAGCAAAAUGGAUUGCAUGUAAUCGUAAAUCGGCAUACAAAAUGGAAACAAACCUACCUACCUACCUAUCUACCUCCUCGACGAAGGAUUACCGGUUGAUAUUGAAUUCUCGACAAAAAUUCUCACGCGCGACGAGCUGUUUUGGAGAAUGGAAAAAAACAAA
Molecule: long non-coding RNA, 315 nt
Organism: Polistes canadensis
Lineage: Eukaryota; Metazoa; Arthropoda; Insecta; Hymenoptera; Vespidae
Exons: 2
Source: RefSeq, a predicted model, not a curated record